CUAAAAUGCAGCAGGUUGGGCGCAGGAGGCCACCCCUAUUCAGCGCGCGCCCGCGCGCGCGAACACGCAGCGCCCGCUCCGCGCGGGGACCCGCCGCCAGCGAUGGCGCUUCCGCGGGAUUAGAACGGGCAAAAUCCCCCUUCGCGGAGCUCGCUCCGGGUCACCCUCAAGGUCACGCCCACGGACCACGCCCGAGGCCCGGCUCGUACAGAUCGGAGCGUCUGGAUACCGCGGUCCCGGUUCCCUCCUCAGAAUUUCCAGGCCCGGCUCGGACUCUUGGUUACCUCCCCGGCCUCCCCACCCGGUUCCGCGUCCUUAGACAGCUCUCCCGGAACGGAGCUCCCAGUGCCCUCCUUGGCCUCCUCAGCACCCCUGGCACCCACCAAGCCUCACCCCCGGCCCAGGUUGCUGAGAGGUGGAUGUUAAAAAUCAACACCAGGACUACAGUAAGGCUGAAAUCAUUGAAGUGCUUGGAGUGCAGAACUGAAAGAGGUACUUACUAACUUUUAGGGCUGUGUAAGUGUAGUGUUGUUUGAAGCUCUGUGUGUGUUUCUGUAAAGACUGGUCUGGAAAACUGACCAGAGGAAAACAUUUCCUUGCUUUUCCUCUGCUCUCACAUGAAAACAACAAACACAGUAAGAGUCAACACCAAAGACUUCAAUGACCCCCAGAUAUGUGGGGAUUUCCCCCUACCAGCAAGCAAGCAAUCAGUUCUAACUGCGUAUCCUCCAAUUUAAUUCUGACACUAUCUGCCUGGAAAUAGCAUCAGAUCCCUCAGGUUGAGGGCUUAGUCCCCAAGACUGCCAUCCCUUCAGACACCAGUUGCAAGUCUGGGCCUCUAGAACUUCUGACCAGCUGGGCUUCAAGUUGGCAUUCCCAGACAUUUACAGUGGCUCAUGGCUGGAGGAUCACUUGAGGCCAAGAGUUCAAGACCAGCCUGGGCAACAGAGUGAGACCUGUCUCAAGAAAAUAAAAAGUAAAAUUAGCUGUGCCUGGAGGUACAAGCCUGUGUAGUCCUAGCUACUUGGGAGGCUGAGGUGAAAGGCUCACUUGAGCCCAGGAAUUCAAGGUUACAGUGAGCAGUGAUCUGUGCCAUUGCACUCCAGCCUGGGCGACAGAGCGUGAUCCUGUCUUAAAAAAAAAAAGAAAAAAAAAAAGAUGGGGUUCUCACAACCCCCUCUUUGGGUUCAAUUAAUUUGCUGAAGUGCUCACAGAACUCAGGGAAACACUUAUGUUUGCUGGUUUAUUAUAAAGGAUAUUACAAAGGAUACAAUUGAAGAGAUUCGUUGGGCAAGGUAUGGGGAAGGGGCAUAUUGUUGGAGGCACAGAAUAGGCAAGACUUCAGAGAAAGUUUCUCUUCUCUCCCCACUUCUUGCUGCCAUUGUCUGUUAGGUUUGAUCCACAAUGGAUGGAUCUCAUUCUACUUUUCCAUUUCCCUAAUAUUUGUCAUGGCCCCUUUGAAUCUUGCCAUUCACUGUUCUGAUUUUCACAGUGCUGGGGGUCAUCAGUAUGUUCCUGAGGUGGAAUAGCACUCAUUUCAGAACAAGGAUGACAGAGGUGUGGGGUGCAAACAUACACUUAGGGAACAGGGCAGACCAAGUGAAUGACAACUCUCUUUCCAUCACACCUAUCCUCAAAUCAUGAGAUACUUAUCCACUUUUACCUCUGAAUACAGGACUGUGGUUCUCCUAUGCAAAGACAGCAGGGAGUGGACACUAGAAGGGUAAAACAACGC
Molecule: long non-coding RNA, 1735 nt
Filed under: Pan troglodytes (chimpanzee)
Lineage: Eukaryota; Metazoa; Chordata; Mammalia; Primates; Hominidae
Description: long non-coding RNA NONPTRT008088
Source: RNAcentral